GGGAAGCGAGUGGAUCCCUUCGGGGUGAAGCUCGUGGAACGAGCGGCGGACGGGUGAGUAACACGUGGGCAACCUGCCUGUAAGACCGGAAUAACCCCGGGAAACCGGGGCUAAUGCCGGGUAAUACUUUUCUUCGCAUGAAGGAAAGUUGAAAGAUGGCUUCUUGCUAUCACUUACAGAUGGGCCCGCGGCGCAUUAGCUAGUUGGUGAGGUAACGGCUCACCAAGGCGACGAUGCGUAGCCGACCUGAGAGGGUGAUCGGCCACACUGGGACUGAGACACGGCCCAGACUCCUACGGGAGGCAGCAGUAGGGAAUCUUCCGCAAUGGACGAAAGUCUGACGGAGCAACGCCGCGUGAACGAUGAAGGUCUUCGGAUCGUAAAGUUCUGUUGUUAGGGAAGAACAAGUACCGUGCGAAUAGAGCGGUACCUUGACGGUACCUAACGAGGAAGCCCCGGCUAACUACGUGCCAGCAGCCGCGGUAAUACGUAGGGGGCAAGCGUUGUCCGGAAUUAUUGGGCGUAAAGCGCGCGCAGGCGGUUCCUUAAGUCUGAUGUGAAAGCCCACGGCUCAACCGUGGAGGGUCAUUGGAAACUGGGGAACUUGAGGACAGAAGAGGAGAGUGGAAUUCCACGUGUAGCGGUGAAAUGCGUAGAUAUGUGGAGGAACACCAGUGGCGAAGGCGACUCU
Molecule: ribosomal RNA, 691 nt
Filed under: Halobacillus sp. YIM 94229
Lineage: Bacteria; Bacillati; Bacillota; Bacilli; Caryophanales; Bacillaceae
Description: bacterial SSU rRNA
Rfam family: Bacterial small subunit ribosomal RNA
Source: RNAcentral